GAAAUUGAUAAAAUCCAGUAGGUUAGAAGAUACUCUAUAUGCAUGCCACCCCGAUCUGAUGAUGAGAGUGAGCUUCCCUGAAGCUCCUCCAUGACCUUAACAGCUUGAUCAAUUUCCUGUCAAAAGAAAAAAGGUUGAUAAGAACAUCAAUAAAUGAGCAAAAACUCAGGGGAAAGGGUUAUUUGAUCAGUUUGGUACGCAGUAAAGAGAGAAGGUCGAACAAGAUCUUGUUUCUAUUAAAUAAAUAAAUGCUGAAUGGACAUGAAAAAAAAAAAAAAGAUAUUAUUCAACAUCCAUGUUCAAUUCAACGGAGGUAUGCAUAUGCCAUGUUCUGAUAAGUUUAAGUGACAGUCAAUUGUCUAGGAAUCAUGAGAUACUAGCAGCAUACUACAAGGUUGCCCAACUGAUAUUUUUUUGCACCUAGUGAUGUUCACUUUGAUUAGAUUUUGUUCCACUAUACAGUUAUGGUCAGCUGAAGUUGUACAACUAUGGUUUCCAGAUGAAUUUCAAACCUCAAACUGAUGCAUGCCAAUAUGAAACUCAAAAUUGCAAAAACAAGUUUUAAACUCAUGACACGAC
RNAcentral lists this long non-coding RNA (579 nucleotides) under Trifolium pratense (red clover). RNAcentral describes it as "long non-coding RNA (TPRA_LNC010299)". Lineage: Eukaryota; Viridiplantae; Streptophyta; Magnoliopsida; Fabales; Fabaceae. The record is from RNAcentral.